UACGGGGGGGGCAAGCGUUGUUCGGAAUUACUGGGCGUAAAGGGUUCGUAGGUGGCUUGCUAAGUCAGACGUGAAAUCCCUCAGCUUAACUGGGGAACUGCGUCUGAUACUGGCGAGCUUGAGUGCAGGAGAGGAACGCAGAAUUCCAGGUGUAGCGGUGAAAUGCGCAGAUAUCAGGAGGAACACCGGUGGCGAAGGCGGGUCUCUGGGCAGUAACUGACGCUGAGGAGCGAAAGCGUGGGGAGCGAACAGG
This 253-nucleotide ribosomal RNA is filed under the name uncultured bacterium. RNAcentral's name for it is "partial 16S ribosomal RNA". It matches the Rfam family "Bacterial small subunit ribosomal RNA", at positions 524 to 776 of the family's 1533-position model. The record is from RNAcentral.